This 304-nucleotide ribosomal RNA is filed under the name uncultured bacterium. Its description in RNAcentral is "partial 16S ribosomal RNA". It matches the Rfam family "Bacterial small subunit ribosomal RNA", at positions 506 to 807 of the family's 1533-position model. The record is from RNAcentral.
CAGCAGUCGCCACGGUAACACGGAGGGUGCGAGCGUUGUCCGGAUUUAUUGGGUUUAAAGGGUGCGUAGGUGGCUUUUUAAGUCAGUGGUGAAAUACAGCCGCUCAACGGUUGAGGUGCCAUUGAUACUGAAGAGCUUGAAACAAGUGGAGGCUGCCGGAAUGGAUGGUGUAGCGGUGAAAUGCACAGAUAUCAUCCAGAACACCGAUUGCGAAGGCAGGUGGCUACGUUUGAUUUGACACUGAGGCACGAAAGCAUGGGGAGCAAACAGGAUUAGAUACCCCCGUAGUCCCUGUCUCUUAUAC